CCCUUACCCUUUAUCUUUUGUGAACCAAGCACCCCCUUAGUAUGACAUCCAAUCCAAUAGGGAUAUAUGACUACAAGCCGCGGUAGCACUAGUCACUUAGUUGUUUUAUCUGGCUGCCCCUUGCUGUGUGUAGCCUCCCACAACGCCCAGAGUUUUCCUUUUUCACUCUUCUUUUUCCAAUCGAUCUGUUGUUGUUCGCCCAAUUGGUUGACAACCCGAGAUUCACCUAUUUCCUUGCAGCUGCCCGUGCACGCUGUAACUUCACCCGGUCCUCUGGAACCAAAUCAUCAAGCAUAGCAUCCUAACAUAGGUAUACCGUUUACAACUUUGCCAGGCAUAUGUAUCUUGUGUAAAUGAGGUGACGGAAUGGGCUUGUUACCAUACGGGUCUAAUUGGGUUUUGAUCAAAACAUGUACUCUUUCAAUGCUAUAAGUAGGUUGAAAUCGUUGCCUCUAGGAUGAAAUUUUGAUCUCUCAGUUUGCAUUUCCUAAUCGGUUUACAUCUCUAUAUAGUUUUGGGGAAUUUGGAAGAUGCUUGCUCUUUGUAUGAACAGACGAAUGCAAUUGCCAAUUGAGAAAGGCAAAGAACAAUCACAGACCUUUCCGCUUUUGUCUCCCCAGUAUUCUCGCUUUUUGUACAUGGUUUUGGGAAGAGCUGAAAAGGCAAGGGAGGUUCUAGAUCAAGCCCUUGAGAGAAAUCAUCUCUCAAAACCACUCUUAGAGGCUUUGAUUCGUGUGGAAUCAAUUCAAUCACUUCCAAAAUAAAUUCAUCACCCAGACUCACUAGUUGAGAAGUUUGUAGCUCCUGGUCCCGAUAACUCAAAUCCUGCAAGUUAUGUUGAGAGACGAGAGUUAUCUAGCAUCUUUUUGGAGGUAUAAAUAUAGCUCCUCAGUUUGAAGUUCAUCCCGGGGUACCAACAUCAAGAAAGGGCCAGGACAUCUUUAACCAGACAUCCAGUUUCUGCUAGCCAAGUGAUGUAUGAACUUCGUUUCAAUUCCCUUGUGUGUAUUCAUGAUUUCUGCUAAAGGUGGCAGAAAUGGGAGGGUUGUGUUAUUGGUCAAAAUUAGCCUGGUUGACUUGAUAUGUACUUGUUUUCUUAAUCCAAACUUAUCAGUUCUUUUAUGGAUAGCCGGCUUGUCAAAUGUGAUUACAAAAGUUAAGUUAUCGAGAUAAUAAUCUGGUUCUCGGAUUGUAAUGAGGCUUUUUUUUUUUUUUUUUUUUUCUGUGGAAUCUAAGCGCGUAUUCCUGAGGUCUUUAGGCUGUGAUGAUGAACUUUUAUUGCUGGAAGAAGAAUGGGGCCACUUUCUAGAUGCCUGAGCUGGCAAGGUCAUUAGGUUAUGUUCUAAAAGAGGCUGAUCUUUUGGAGAAGGCUGGCCAUUUUAUGGAGGCUGCAGAUCUCUUGCUUUGGUAUGUAUUUUUUAGCUAACUUUGGGGAAAUGGAAAUAGAGGUUGGCCAUUGAAGCAGUUUGCUAUGAAGGAAGACCUUUUUUUGAGAAAGCAAGGUCGGUUGCAAAAAUGACCUCUAAUAAUUUCUAUGAUUUUGUUUGUAAUGAGCUUAAGGUACUCUCUGAUAAGCAUAGUAGUUUGCCCGUGCUCAAGAAAGAUUUACUUGCUUCCAAGAAAUAUAAGAGUGUACGAGGGGAAAUAUCAUCCAUAAGGAAAAUCUUAGAUCCUCAUUUUCGUAUAAAUUUCUCUAAGUACUUUUGGGAGGAUGAAUUACCGUCCGAUAUUACUAAGCAUUGUGAAGACAAGAUAUUUCAGGGUUAUGUUUCUAUUAGAACUCUGGUUUUUUAUUGGAACCAGUGGAAGGAGAAUGUCAUCAAUAUCUUUCAAAGCAUCAAAUGUCUUGAAAAUGAAACGCCAAUUAAAAGUGAUGGUCUUGCCGAUUUUAGUAUAAGUUACUUUUGAGUGAGGAAACAGUGUGUAAACGGGAACAUUGUUUACCUAUUAGUCAACAAGGAUGGUGACUGGAUAAGAAACACUGGUAAUAAAGGUCUCCGUAGGGAAGCGAAGCUUCUAAUUAUGAAUACAAGUCAGUUGGUGCUUGCUAUCAGGUCUUAUUGGCAGUCAGAACUACUUUCCGUGGGUAUAAAAGUACUUGAAAAACUAGAAGGUCUCCGUAAGUCAAAGUUAAAUGGUUCAGCAUUUCAUCAAAGCACGUCUUUCCUACACAUAAAGGUUUACAUCAAACUAGUGCUAGUUGAUGCGAGUUACUUCGGAAAUAAACGGUAAAUUCAUUUGAGGUAUUCUCUCAAUACCAAAAAAAGCAAGCGGAUCAAGUAUGAGUUUUCGAGGUUUCCAAGUUUCUUUUGGACUGCCAGUGGCUUAACCUCUCUUCUCAUCACGCAAAUAAACUGCAAAGUUUCCUUGGAAUCUCUGCACAUUACUUUGAUCUUGUCUUUCCGUUAGACUGGCGAAAAUCAGUCUCUAAGGACUUGGUUUCCUUAAGGAUGACUGAUAUAUCACUUUACUUGUUUGAUGAGAUUAUUCUUCAAAAAGUUGACAUCAAUGGUGACAUCAGCUUUUGGACCAUCGGAAUGGGGAUGAUGCUGUGGUUUGCUUUAAGAAAACCGGCUGCGCUUAAUGAAAAAGAUUGUUGCGGGGCUCCAGUGGAGUCUCGGAUGAAAGUCACUUGUAGAACUAUGGAAUGUUGGCUAUAUAGGUUUUAAAUAUACGUCACACAUCUAGAAUGCUCUUGUCACCGAGAAACAUGCAUCAACAAUUUGUGUUGGUCCAUUACUCCGGGUUGCUUUAGGUGAUACUUUUAAUGAAAACUGGAGUAAUCCUGGCUAUAUAUCACCUUGAAGCUUCGUGCAUCUUUUGGAUCGUCUUCUUUUCAUGGAGUCUUUCUCUUCAGGACUACCUUUCACUACGAAGACUUCUUUUGUUGGAUGGUUUACAGAGCUUCACCCUAGUGAUUCAGCUUUAUCAGAACUUAAACAGAUCUAUGUGAAGACUGACUUCACCUUAUUUGUUAACAUAGUCCGACGAAUUCCCUACAACAAGGAAGAUACUGAAUCUUGGAUUCGAAGAUCAAAGAUUAACGUCUCUUAUUACCAUCCACUUUUAGCAUUGAAGUUGGUGAUGAUGUUAUCUUUAAUUUUUCUGCGAGUAUCAGAUUGUUAUCAAGUAUCACUUGAUUUGCUGACGGGAAAGAAAAAUAUCGAGUAUUUGCUUUCGAAGGAAUUUGUGUAUAUUCUUUUGCGGAACAUGAAGGGUCGUAACUUGUACUUGAGUCCACAAAUAGUUGCUGAAGCUUUGCAAGCAUAGAGGAUCCUCUCCUGAUUGUCAGUUCAGAAUCUAAGAAUCCACAAAUAGAUGCUCCUUGUGCUAUAUUUGUGGACCUAAGGAAAUCUGAAGAGGAGAUAAUGAACACAUUGUUCACUAAGAUCCGCCUUGUAGUCAAAGUACUUUAAACAACGAUGGUCGUGGGAUAGCUCCUGAGGCAGUGCUAGAGAAAAGCAAUGAUAAUCAAAGUGGCGGUGGUAGCACUCAUCAUGUGAAUAACAACAAAGUGAAAAGUAACAAGGUAAAGAAAAAUACAAAUAUCGGCCAGACUUCUGCGAACAAUGAAUGUGAAAGGGAACAGCAAACUGCUGCAGUUAUGGUAAAGGUAAGUGGGAAGAAUAGCAAGUCACUGAGCACAUCUGCUGCAGUUAUGGUAAAGAAAAGUGGACAAACGUAUGGACACGUCGCUUAGUACCUUUGCUGGACAAGAUACAACAUAUGUAGUUACUGCAUUAAAUCAACUGAAUGUGAUUUCUCCUGCUGUUGCAUCUAAUAUGGGGCUGGACUUGCAAAGUCAUAAAUCUUGAAGUUGUUUUUUUCAUUAGUUUAAACUAUUAUUUAUAUUACUGUAUUACUUUUUGGCGUCUUGAUCCUUUUCACUGGAAAAACAGCAGAGGAUUUAGUUUUCUUGAAAUGUAUACAAUGGCUUAA
This is a long non-coding RNA of Erigeron canadensis, 3939 nucleotides long. RefSeq lists it as uncharacterized. The record is from RefSeq and is a predicted model, not a curated record. The transcript has 4 exons. NCBI's taxonomy places the organism in Eukaryota, Viridiplantae, Streptophyta, Magnoliopsida, Asterales, Asteraceae.